AUUGAACGCUGGCGGCAGGCCUAACACAUGCAAGUCGAGCGGAUGAGAGGGGCUUGCUCCUCGAUUCAGCGGCGGACGGGUGAGUAAUGCCUAGGAAUCUGCCUAGUAGUGGGGGACAACGUUUCGAAAGGAACGCUAAUACCGCAUACGUCCUACGGGAGAACGUGGGGGAUCUUCGGACCUCACGCUAUUAGAUGAGCCUAGGUCGGAUUAGCUAGUUGGUAGGGUAAAGGCCUACCAAGGCGACGAUCCGUAACUGGUCUGAGAGGAUGAUCAGUCACACUGGAACUGAGACACGGUCCAGACUCCUACGGGAGGCAGCAGUGGGGAAUAUUGGACAAUGGGCGAAAGCCUGAUCCAGCCAUGCCGCGUGUGUGAAGAAGGCCUUCGGGUCGUGAAGCACUUUAAGUUGGGAGGAAGGGCUCAUAGCGAAUACCUGUGAGUUUUGACGUUACCAACAGAAUAAGCACCGGCUAACUUCGUGCCAGCAGCCGCGGUAA
This 500-nucleotide ribosomal RNA is filed under the name uncultured bacterium. Its description in RNAcentral is "partial 16S ribosomal RNA". It matches the Rfam family "Bacterial small subunit ribosomal RNA", at positions 30 to 523 of the family's 1533-position model. The record is from RNAcentral.